GUACCAGCUCAGUUGGUUAGAGCAUGGUACUGGUAAUGUCAAGGUUGCAGGUUCGACCUCCGAAAGGGACA
Podarcis lilfordi (Lilford's wall lizard) is the source of this 71-nucleotide non-coding RNA. Lineage: Eukaryota; Metazoa; Chordata; Lepidosauria; Squamata; Lacertidae. The record is from the annotation of a GenBank genome assembly.